UACAGAGGUCCCAAGCGUUGUUCGGAUUCAUUGGGCGUAAAGGGUGCGUAGGCGGCGCGGGAAGUCGGGUGUGAAAUCUCGGAGCUUAACUCCGAAACUGCAUUCGAUACUGCCGUGCUUGAGGACUGGAGAGGAGACUGGAAUUUACGGUGUAGCGGUGAAAUGCGUAGAUAUCGUAAGGAAGACCAGUGGCGAAGGCGGCUCGCUGGGCCACACCUGACGCUGAGACGCGAAAGCUAGGGGAGCGAACAGG
This 253-nucleotide ribosomal RNA is filed under the name uncultured bacterium. Its description in RNAcentral is "partial 16S ribosomal RNA". It matches the Rfam family "Bacterial small subunit ribosomal RNA", at positions 524 to 776 of the family's 1533-position model. The record is from RNAcentral.